This 75-nucleotide transfer RNA is filed under the name Candidatus Coliplasma equi. Its description in RNAcentral is "tRNA-Thr". It matches the Rfam family "tRNA". Rfam says of the family: Transfer RNA (tRNA) molecules are approximately 80 nucleotides in length. Their secondary structure includes four short double-helical elements and three loops (D, anti-codon, and T loops). Lineage: Bacteria; Bacillati; Bacillota; Clostridia; Eubacteriales. The record is from RNAcentral.
GCUGGUGUAGCACAGUGGUAGUGCAGUUGAUUCGUAAUCAACAGGUCGUGAGUUCAAUCCUCACCACCAGCUCCA